RNAcentral lists this ribosomal RNA (253 nucleotides) under uncultured bacterium. RNAcentral describes it as "partial 16S ribosomal RNA". It matches the Rfam family "Bacterial small subunit ribosomal RNA", at positions 524 to 776 of the family's 1533-position model. The record is from RNAcentral.
UAUGUAGGGUGCGAGCGUUGUCCGGAAUUAUUGGGCGUAAAGGGCUCGUAGGCGGUUUGUCGCGUCGGGAGUGAAAACGCCGUGCUUAACACGGCGCUUGCUUUCGAUACGGGCAGACUAGAGGUAUGCAGGGGAGAACGGAAUUCCUGGUGUAGCGGUGAAAUGCGCAGAUAUCAGGAGGAACACCGGUGGCGAAGGCGGUUCUCUGGGCAUUACCUGACGCUGAGGAGCGAAAGCGUGGGGAGCGAACAGG